This 1488-nucleotide ribosomal RNA is filed under the name Thonalmus sp. 2 VSF-2020. RNAcentral describes it as "SSU rRNA". It matches the Rfam family "Eukaryotic small subunit ribosomal RNA", at positions 394 to 1793 of the family's 1831-position model. Lineage: Eukaryota; Metazoa; Arthropoda; Insecta; Coleoptera; Lycidae. The record is from RNAcentral.
UCCUGAGAAACGGGCUACCACAUCCAAGGAAGGCAGCAGGCGNGCAAAUUACCCACUCCCGGCACGGGGAGGUAGUGACGAAAAAUAACGAUACGGGACUCAUCCGAGGCCCCGUAAUCGGAAUGAGAACAAUUUAAAUCCUUUAACGAGGNAUCAAUUGGAGGGCAAGUCUGGUGCCAGCAGCCGCGGUAAUUCCAGCUCCAAUAGCGUAUAUUAAAGUUGUUGCGGUUAAAAAGCUCGUAGUCGAAUCUGUGUCCCGCGCCGCCGGUUCGUCGCUCGCGGCGUUUAACUGGCGUGUCCGCGGGACGUCCUGCCGGUGGGCUUAGCCCCUCCUUUGGGGCGGCCCAAUCAUAAUCCCGCCGCGGUGCUCUUCACCGAGUGUCGAGGCGGGCCGGCACGUUUACUUUGAACAAAUUAGAGUGCUUAAAGCAGGCUAAAAUUUUGCCUGAAUACUUCGUGCAUGGAAUAAUGGAAUAGGACCUCGGUUCUAUUUUGUUGGUUUUCGGAACCCCGAGGUAAUGAUUAAUAGGAACGGAUGGGGGCAUUCGUAUUGCGACGUUAGNNGUGAAAUUCUUGGAUCGUCGCAAGACGGACAGAAGCGAAAGCAUUUGCCAAAAACGUUUUCAUUGAUCAAGAACGAAAGUUAGAGGUUCGAAGGCGAUCAGAUACCGCCCUAGUUCUAACCAUAAACGAUGCCAGCUAGCGAUCCGCCGAAGUUCCUCCGAUGACUCGGCGGGCAGCUUCCGGGAAACCAAAGCUUUUGGGUUCCGGGGGAAGUAUGGUUGCAAAGCUGAAACUUAAAGGAAUUGACGGAAGGGCACCACCAGGAGUGGAGCCUGCGGCUUAAUUUGACUCAACACGGGAAACCUCACCAGGCCCGGACACCGGAAGGAUUGACAGAUUGAGAGCUCUUUCUUGAUUCGGUGGGUGGUGGUGCAUGGCCGUUCUUAGUUGGUGGAGCGAUUUGUCUGGUUAAUUCCGAUAACGAACGAGACUCUGGCCUGCUAACUAGGCGUAUUUCCGACAUCUCGAAGGCCCGCCGGCCUGGUGCGCUCGCGCGCCGAGUCGUGCGCGGUUUUUACUGUCGGCGUACAAACAAUUCUUCUUAGAGGGACAGGCGGCUUCUAGCCGCACGAGAUAGAGCAAUAACAGGUCUGUGAUGCCCUUAGAUGUUCUGGGCCGCACGCGCGCUACACUGAAGGAAUCAGCGUGUCCUCCCUGGCCGAGCGGCCCGGGUAACCCGCUGAACCUCCUUCGUGCUAGGGAUUGGGGCUUGCAAUUGUUCCCCAUGAACGAGGAAUUCCCAGUAAGCGCGAGUCAUAAGCUCGCGUUGAUUACGUCCCUGCCCUUUGUACACACCGCCCGUCGCUACUACCGAUUGAAUGAUUUAGUGAGGUCUUCGGACCGGCACGCGGUGGCGUUUCGACGUCGCCGAUGCUGCUGGAAAGAUGACCAAACUUGAUCAUUUAGAGGAAGUAAAAAGUCGUA